This is a long non-coding RNA of Daphnia pulex (common water flea), 661 nucleotides long. RefSeq lists it as uncharacterized. The record is from RefSeq and is a predicted model, not a curated record. The transcript is spliced from 2 exons. NCBI's taxonomy places the organism in Eukaryota, Metazoa, Arthropoda, Branchiopoda, Diplostraca, Daphniidae.
CUGACAGCUAUCACACAAAAGUUUCUUUUAGUAGCAGCGAGAAAUUUCUUCAGAGAUGUGCAAAGUAAACGUUAUUAAACUGAGUGUAAAAUUAUCAAAGGCUAUGACGUCUAGCGUCAGAAAAAAGAAACUUUUACAUGAAAACAAUGUCCGCUCUAGCUCGUUGACACUCAAUUGAAAGAAGGAACAAACAAAGGCAAUUAACUUCGAUACUCACGGCAUAUACUCCUCUCCAAAUUUAUAUCUCGUCUUCACCAAAAAGUCUCCACUGCAGCAUCACAUAUCACAACAGACAAAAUCCCUAAAAGGUUUCAAUGGCCGUUGAUGUUCAGGCUGUUAAUGGAGAUGCUGCCUAAUGAAGAGAUGUCGAAAGGUGUGCUUAAAGUUGUUGCUGCUGCUGCUGUCUUUGGUGUCACAGUUCAAUGUGUUGUUCAUUAAUUUGUCUGUCAUGUCAAAUCUCUCCCAUCUCUGUCACUCAAAUCUCAUCCAUGCAUUUACGAUUGAGGUAACCUGAUCUUACAUGAUCUAGGAGUGCUUCAAUUGAAAACUGCUAGAUCAAGAAACCUUAUGCACCAAACAAAUAAUGACGUUGUGUUAUAAUCGCGGUUGGGAAAGCAACAGGCCCCCUGCCAUCAAAUAAAAUUAUGGGUCUUGUGUUUAA